Molecule: ribosomal RNA, 492 nt
Filed under: uncultured bacterium
Lineage: Bacteria
Description: partial 16S ribosomal RNA
Rfam family: Bacterial small subunit ribosomal RNA
Source: RNAcentral
AGUGAACGCUGGCGGUAGGCCUAACACAUGCAAGUCGAACGGCAGCACAGUAAGAGCUUGCUCUUACGGGUGGCGAGUGGCGGACGGGUGAGGAAUACAUCGGAAUCUACUUUUUCGUGGGGGAUAACGUAGGGAAACUUACGCUAAUACCGCAUACGACCUACGGGUGAAAGCGGGGGAUCUUCGUACCUUGCGCGAUUGAAUGAGCCGAUGUCGGAUUAGCUAGUUGGCGGGGUAAAGGCCCACCAAGGCGACGAUCCGUAGCUGGUCUGAGGGGAUGAUCAGCCACACUGGAACUGAGACACGGUCCAGACUCCUACGGGAGGCAGCAGUGGGGAAUAUUGGACAAUGGGCGCAAGCCUGAUCCAGCCAUACCGCGUGGGUGAAGAAGGCCUUCGGGUUGUAAAGCCCUUUUGUUGGGAAAGAAAAGCAGCAGGUUAAUACCCCGCUGUUCUGACGGUACCCAAAGAAUAAGCACCGGCUAACUUCGUG